UAACAAAUUAACUUAUCUGAAACAAGGUGUCUUCAAUGGUUUGAAAAAUCUUGAAACGUUAAAUCUGGAAAAUAAUGAGCUAAGGACCUACAAUCCUGAUAUAUUUGAUGGACUCACUUCCCUUAAAACUUUAUUAUCGGAUGAGUUCAGCAUCUGCUGCAUUAUGAAACGUGUUCCCGACUGCCGUCCGACUACUGAUCAAUUUUCAUCUUGUAAAGAUCUCUUGAAGAGGGAAGCUUUGCGGAUCCUGAUGAUGAUUCUUGGAAUUACU
This is a long non-coding RNA of Anneissia japonica, 271 nucleotides long. RefSeq lists it as uncharacterized. The transcript has 3 exons. The record is from RefSeq and is a predicted model, not a curated record. NCBI's taxonomy places the organism in Eukaryota, Metazoa, Echinodermata, Crinoidea, Comatulida, Comatulidae.